This is a non-coding RNA of Vicia faba (fava bean), 264 nucleotides long. Lineage: Eukaryota; Viridiplantae; Streptophyta; Magnoliopsida; Fabales; Fabaceae. The record is from the annotation of a GenBank genome assembly.
AUGAUGCCUUACCCCGCCGUCUUACAUGUAAUUAUGGAGCCAAUUGCUGAGGGAGACACUCCUUACAUUAUUCUUCAUCCUGACAUGCCAACUGAUUUCGAGGAGCUACAGAAAUCCUGGAUCCAACUCAAAGAAGAGCGGGAUACCUUUGAAACCCAAUUCUACGCUAGUGCGGCGAGCGUCAAAACUAGCAACUUCAUCAAAAGAAUGAGACAAUCAGGAAGGGGAGACGAGAGAGGAAGACCUCAUCCCAGAGGAAUCUGA